UGGGCUGCCAUAAGUGCUCGUGUAUGUUCAUUUACGCUUCAUAGAUCAUGCUUGCUUGUUGGUGAAAUUUUGGCUUGUUUCUACUGAGUGAGAUCCUAGUGCCUAGAGACUUUUCAUCAGAUUGUUCUUCUAGUAUGUCACCUUAUUUUAAUGAUGUUCAGUAUCGAUUCAAGUGAUGUGGUCGCUUAUUCCUUGUGCUUCUCUUCCACAAAAAUAUUAUCAAUCAUUCAAUUUCCAAGGUGAGACCAUGUAUCCUGUGCUUAACAUCGUGCCAGAGCUAGAAUGGGUACAUUUGUCUGCAAGAAAUUGAUAGUUUUGCUGUUCCAGAGACUGGAGCUUUUCUUUGUCAUUUUUCUUGCAGGCCUGUCUUGAUAUUUUCGUAAACUUUGCAAUGCAUCGUCAAACGAGUUCUGGACAAUGGCAACCCGUCUUCUGUCACAAUAAAAUUUGCGUAAGUUGGCUGCUUCUUUCACACUCCUUAAUCCUUCCCAAAACAUGCUACUUUCACCUUGCAUCUUGCUAUCAGGUAUUUUGAUUCUUACCUCUUUCAAUCCUAAAUUCAAUGUUGUGUGAUUACCACAUGGCCAUAAUUCUGACUUUUGAUCAGAUCAUUUCUCUCGUAUGUUUAUUUUAAUGAUAUUCAGUUCAAGUGACGUGGUUGCUUAUUCCUUGUGCUUCUCUUCCAGACAAAUAUAAUCAAUCAUUCAGUUUCUAAGUUUCUAGAGACCCUCUGGCCUGUGUUCUGUGCCAGAGCUAAAAUGGUCACAUUAGUCUGGAAGAAAUUGAUGGCUUUGCUGUUCCAGAGAGCAUCUCUUGCCCUUUCCUCAAAAUGCUAUAACUGCAUUAAACUAGAUGGUACCUCUAUAUAGUGAGCAUUUGUUUUCUUAGCUUGUUGAAUCAUGUACUGGGAAUGACCUGAAGCUCAUCCGCAUGAUACAUUGGGUUGUACAUGAGAACUGCUGGUUUUAUCGACAGAACGUGUAUACUCCGUCCGUUCCUAAAUAUAAGUCUUUUUAGACAUUUCAAAUGGACUAUAACAUACGGAUGUAUGUAGACAUAUUCUAGAGUGUAGAUUCACUCAUUUUGCUCCGUAUGUAGUCACUUGUUGGAAUCUCUAAAAAGACUUAUAUUUGGGAACGGAGGGAGUAGAAUUCUCAAAAGAACCUUGGUGUGUUGUCAUGCAGCUUGGUAUGGAACAUAAUACGUUCAGUGGCUAUUAGGUCUUGCUCGCUCUCUGCACAAUUCUCUGAUGGAGCCUACCAGGUUAUGUACUACUCCCUCCGUCCCAAAAUAAGUGACUCAACUUUGUAUUAAAUUUGUUCUAAAGUUAGUACAAAGUUGAGUCACUUAUUUUGGGACGGAGGGAGUACUUCAAAAGAUGUUGCUUACGCUACUAGUUGUGCAAUGUAUACUGGAGGCAGCUAUUGCUGUUUGAUUCAGUGAUUUCAUUGAUGUUCUGAGAGGCACUCAUGUGUAGUGAACUCCCCUGUUUCCAGUUCAUAUGUGCAUAAACACAGCUCGUGGCAGCGCUUGGUUCUCAUCAUUAGCCAUCAGGCUGCCUUUAUAUAUGCGCACAUCUUUUCAAGUGUCCACUGAUACAUGUCUUCUUUUUAUCCCCAGGCACUCGAAAAAUCAAAAUAUGAAGAACAAUGGCUGGCGACAGUUCGUCGUUUCAUUGUAAUAUCUGAAAAGGAGCUCGGAUUUUUCUAUCGGUAUGUUGCACUUGAUGGAAAAACACAAUCCCAGAAUGCUGAUCUGGUUCAUGGUGGUGGCAAGAAAGCUUCUAAACUAGGAAUAGAGGGAUUGGAUCAUGGAAAGGACCAAGGACCGCAUCUGGCCUGUUACGGCCCCUGAUGCAUCAACGACAGCGUCCACUGAACAAGAGUCUGAUGAGGAGAUGUCAGUUCCUGGAGAUGGCGUUUGGUUAACUGAAGAAGGUUCAGAGAGGGAAACCGUCAAGCCCAGCCCAGCGUGGCCCCGGCGCACCACCCGCGUGGUUCGACCCAACCCCAAGGUCACCGGCCUGAACUGGACGCGCUGAGCAUAAAGGCGAAGGUACAGACACAGGUAGGGUUGUCGUCGGACCAGAACCUGAAGAAAGAAUCCCCUUGUCAUCUCACCUGCUCCUACUCUGAAUUCCUCUUUCUUCCUCAUCCCAAUUCUUCUUGUAUCACGACAUGUGUUCCCUGUAGAAACUCUGAUCCAUGGCAGCUUGCGUGCCAUAGCGAGUACAAAGGGGUGAGAUCUGUGUGCGCAAUUUGGGCUCCUAACAUGGCCUGUGGUGCUUUCUCUGAUAUACGUACUGACCUCAUGGAUGCAUCCGUGCCUGAUGAAGAACAUGAUUCCGGUAAUGAAUCUGGUGUCGAUGAUGUUGCGAGUGGAGAUGAUAUAUGCAGUUCUGAAGACACUGUUGUUUCUGCUCAUGGGGUGUUGUAUCAAGGGGAGUGAGGAAAAAAAUUGUCUGGUUGUCACUGUGUUAGCCACCUCCAAUUCGGCCAACAUGAGCAUGCCGUCUCAAUUCCAUUCACCAACUGGAGCUCGACGAUACGGAAGGUACAUCCAUGGCGCCCACACAACCUCUCGUGCACUUGACUACCCAUUAGCGGUAUUCUUCUUUUGACUUCUACCGCCAUGCCGCCGCCUGGAUCUCCGAUGGUAGUGAGUGCUAGCUCCAUUCUUCUUUUGACUUCUACCGCCAUGCCGCCGCCUGGAUCUCCGAUGAUGUUUCCUCCGUUAAUUUUAUGGUUCCGACACUGUUUCUUCGCUUCCAUGUCAACAUGUGCCACUCCCCUCGGAUAAAGGCAGAGGCAGUGGAUCGGAAGGAGGCCAGCAUGAGGCUUGACAUCAUGUCCGUUGAAGGGAAAAGCGUCGGUUCCCUGCUCCAGAAGGUGUGUAGUCAUGCGCGCCGAGAACCGAAGCAUGGUGGCUGGAAGCGAGCAUCCGAAUUGUCUUUGGUUCCUUGUUACCACAAGAGCGAGAAAGCAAGUAUACAACACAACGCUAGCGAAACCCAAAGCAACACAUCUGAACUAAAAAGAAAUUGAAAAAUGUUUUUCACCAGCUGACAAUCAGAGUCCAUCAGGGAAAAAAGCUCAAAACUCUUUUAUCUCUCCAUUCCUUAGAGCUUAUCAGAUGAACUGAAAAAGAAAAAAAAAA
This 3156-nucleotide long non-coding RNA is filed under the name Triticum aestivum (bread wheat). Its description in RNAcentral is "long non-coding RNA (TAES_LNC017085)". The stretch from base 1269 to 1373 matches the Rfam family "MIR1120/MIR1122 microRNA precursor family". Lineage: Eukaryota; Viridiplantae; Streptophyta; Magnoliopsida; Poales; Poaceae. The record is from RNAcentral.